UGGGGAAUAUUGCACAAUGGGGGAAACCCUGAUGCAGCGACGCCGCGUGAAGGAAGAAGUAUCUCGGUAUGUAAACUUCUAUCAGCAGGGAAGAAAAUGACGGUACCUGACUAAGAAGCCCCGGCUAACUACGUGCCAGCAGCCGCGGUAAUACGUAGGGGGCAAGCGUUAUCCGGAUUUACUGGGUGUAAAGGGAGCGUAGACGGAGCAGCAAGUCUGAUGUGAAAGGCAGGGGCUCAACCCCUGGACUGCAUUGGAAACUGUUGAUCUUGAGUACCGGAGGGGUAAGCGGAAUUCCUAGUGUAGCGGUGAAAUGCGUAGAUAUUAGGAGGAACACCAGUGGCGAAGGCGGCUUACUGGACGGUAACUGACGUUGAGGCUCGAAAGCGUGGGGAGCAAACAGG
This 404-nucleotide ribosomal RNA is filed under the name Bacillota bacterium. Its description in RNAcentral is "Firmicutes bacterium partial 16S ribosomal RNA". It matches the Rfam family "Bacterial small subunit ribosomal RNA", at positions 355 to 776 of the family's 1533-position model. Lineage: Bacteria; Bacillati; Bacillota. RNAcentral also lists the same sequence under 1 other name. The record is from RNAcentral.